RNAcentral lists this ribosomal RNA (508 nucleotides) under uncultured fungus. Its description in RNAcentral is "SSU rRNA". It matches the Rfam family "Eukaryotic small subunit ribosomal RNA", at positions 569 to 1078 of the family's 1831-position model. The record is from RNAcentral. Lineage: Eukaryota; Fungi.
AGCAGCCGCGGUAAUUCCAGCUCCAAUAGCGUAUAUUAAAGUUGUUGCAGUUAAAAAGCUCGUAGUUGUAUUUCGGGAUCAAUUUAUCGGUCGUGCCUAUGGUAUGAACUGGUACAAUUGGUUUCUCCCUUCUGACGAAGCAUGAUGUCAUUAAUUUGGUGUCGUGGGGAAUCAGGACUGUUACUUUGAAAAAAUUAGAGUGUUUAAAGCAAGCAUUAGCUUGAAUACAUUAGCAUGGAAUAAUGAAAUAGGACGUUUGAUCCUAUUUCGUUGGUUUCUAGGAUCGACGUGAUGAUUAAUAGGGAUAGUUGGGGGCAUUAGUAUUCAAUUGUCAGAGGUGAAAUUCUUGGAUUUAUUGAAGACUAACUACUGCGAAAGCAUUUGCCAAGGAUGUUUUCAUUAAUCAAGAACGAAAGUUAGGGGAUCGAAGACGAUCAGAUACCGUCGUAGUCUUAACCAUAAACUAUGCCGACUAGGGAUCGGAUGAUGUUAAUUUUUUAAUGACUCA